Molecule: ribosomal RNA, 305 nt
Filed under: uncultured bacterium
Lineage: Bacteria
Description: bacterial SSU rRNA
Rfam family: Bacterial small subunit ribosomal RNA
Source: RNAcentral
UUCCUACGGGGCGCAGCAGCAGGGAAUUUUGCGCAAUGGGCGAAAGCCUGACGCAGCAACGCCGCGUGAUCGAGACGCCCUUCGGGGUGUAAAGAUCUGUCAGUGGGGACGAAACUUGACGGUACCCACAGAGGAAGCACCGGCUAACUCCGUGCCAGCAGCCGCGGUAAUACGGAGGAUGCGAGCGUUAUCCGGAUUUAUUGGGUUUAAAGGGUGCGCAGGCGGUCUGUUAAGUCAGCGGUCAAAGCCCGGGGCUCAACCCCGGCCCGCCGUUGAAACUGGCAGUCUCGAGUUGGAGAGAAGUA